This 244-nucleotide unclassified non-coding RNA is filed under the name plant metagenome. Its description in RNAcentral is "partial contains small subunit ribosomal RNA, internal transcribed spacer 1, and 5.8S ribosomal RNA". The stretch from base 1 to 53 matches the Rfam family "Eukaryotic small subunit ribosomal RNA", at positions 1778 to 1831 of the family's 1831-position model. The record is from RNAcentral.
GGAAGUAAAGUCGUAACAAGGUUUCCGUAGGUGAACCUGCGGAAGGAUCAUUAAAGAGAAUAUGCCCCUCGGGGUAGAUCUCCCACCCUUUGUUUAUAUUACCUUUGUUGCUUUGGCAGGCCCGUCUUCGGACCACCGGCUUCGGCUGGUCAGUGCUUGCCAGAGGACCCAAAACUCUUAUUAUUAAUGUCGUCUGAGUACUAUAUAAUAGUUAAAACUUUCAACAACGGAUCUCUUGGUUCUG